CAGCAGUGAGGAAUAUUGGUCAAUGGCCGGGAGGCUGAACCAGCCAAGUCGCGUGAGGGAAGACGGCCCUACGGGUUGUAAACCUCUUUUGUCAGGGAGCAAGGGGCGGGUCGGGACCUGCUGUGAGAGUACCUGAAGAAAAAGCAUCGGCUAACUCCGUGCCAGCAGCCGCGGUAAUACGGAGGAUGCGAGCGUUAUCCGGAUUUAUUGGGUUUAAAGGGUGCGCAGGCGGAGGCACAAGUCAGCGGUAAAAUCGCGGGGCUCAACCCCGCUCCGCCGUUGAAACUGUGUCCCUUGAGUGCGCGAAGGGUAGGCGGAAUGCGUGGUGUAGCGGUGAAAUGCAUAGAUAUCACGCAGAACUCCGAUCGCGAAGGCAGCCUACCGGCGCGCGACUGACGCUCAUGCACGAAAGCGUGGGUAUCGAACAGGAUUAGA
This 435-nucleotide ribosomal RNA is filed under the name uncultured Barnesiella sp. Its description in RNAcentral is "bacterial SSU rRNA". It matches the Rfam family "Bacterial small subunit ribosomal RNA", at positions 349 to 782 of the family's 1533-position model. The record is from RNAcentral. Lineage: Bacteria; Pseudomonadati; Bacteroidota; Bacteroidia; Bacteroidales; Barnesiellaceae.